AACGCACAUUGCGCCCUUUGGUAUUCCGAGGGGCAUGCCUGUUCGAGCGUCAUUAUAACCACUCAAGCCCCGGCUUGGUAUUGGGGUUCGCGGUCUCGCGGCCCUUAAAAUCAGUGGCGGUGCCAUCUGGCUCUCAGCGUAGUAGUUUAUCUCGCUAUUGGGUCCGGUGGUUGCUUGCCAAUAACCCCCAACUUCUCACGGUUGACCUCGGAUCAGGUAGGGAUACCCGCUGAACUUAA
This 239-nucleotide unclassified non-coding RNA is filed under the name uncultured fungus. RNAcentral describes it as "sequence contains ITS2". Lineage: Eukaryota; Fungi. The record is from RNAcentral.